Molecule: unclassified non-coding RNA, 326 nt
Filed under: Hevea brasiliensis (rubber tree)
Lineage: Eukaryota; Viridiplantae; Streptophyta; Magnoliopsida; Malpighiales; Euphorbiaceae
Source: RNAcentral
AAAACCGCUCCGCGCGUCAGCCGGCGCAGUGUUGGCGAGCUUGCAUAACCUGUCGCGUCAGUCACGUGCGGUUGGGUCUUUCAUGGGCGUAUUUCGCAAAAAUCGGCACCGGUUUUGCGAACAGAAUACACGCGAGGUUAUACUAUGCGCGAUGAUAUGGGUGGCCGGAUAAAAUCGUCGCGGCCCGGUAAAUCUGUUCCAGCAGCAUGACGCGCACCAUCUGGUGCGGCCAGGUCGCCUUGCCAAACGCAACGCUCAGUUUCACCUUGCGCCGCAAUUCAGGCGAAAGUCCGUCCGCCCCGCCGAUUAGAAAAACAGCGGUUGGA